CGCUGGCGGCGUGUUCACUCAUGAAAGUAGAAAGAACCUUCGGGUUAGUGGCGGACGGGUGAGUAACGUUUUACACCUGCCCUCAGGAGAAAGAUAACGGUUGGAAACGACCGCUAAUACCCCAUAUGCCGAGAGGUGAAAAGAAAUUCGCCUGAGGAUGAGCUCGCGUCUGAUUAGCUAGUUGGUGUGGUAAUGGCGCACCAAGGCUUCUAUCAGUANCUGGUCUGAGAGGAUGAUCAGCCACACUGGGACUGAGACACGGUCCGGACUCCUACGGGAGGCA
Molecule: ribosomal RNA, 283 nt
Filed under: uncultured bacterium
Lineage: Bacteria
Description: partial 16S ribosomal RNA
Rfam family: Bacterial small subunit ribosomal RNA
Source: RNAcentral